GAGAGAGAGAGAGAGAGAGAGAGAGAGAGAGAGAGAGAGAGAGAGAGAGAGAGAGAGAGAGAGAGAGAGAGAGAAAGAGAAACGGCGAGAAAAACAGUGAUUAGAGGAUAUCUGAUGAGAACUUAAACACCUCUGGGAUAAAGUGAGAUCCAGCCCACAUCAACAGCAACACGAUUUUAGACCUCCCAUAUUUCAAAUUUGAUACGAUUUUGGAAAACCUCCACACUUGAACCCCCCCCCCCUUUCCCAGCAUUAUCUGUUCGAAGAUCAGUUUUUUAGCAGCCUUUAAACCGCAAAACAAAACGUCAUCUAUACAUCACAACAAAGUGCGAGUGAUGCAUUCAUGGCACAAAACAUAACUCGCCGAGGAAGAAGCAGGCGCAGAGUUUCUUUGCUUUAAUUCUAAAGUUUUGUGGAGAAAACCAUGUUUUAAAAGAACAGCGAAUAGAUUUGGUCUUUACAGAUUAAUCAAAAUAUUAAAUCGUUUAAUUUUUAUAAAUAAAAAUUAAAGACUGAAAAGGCGCGUUUGGCUCCUUGCAACAAUCCAGCCAUAUCUACAGUAAAGUCUUGCAGCUCUCUUACCUUUUUGACUACAAAAGUCCACUGGAUAAAGCUCGCAUUUCGUGCAACGUUCAGGUUCCGUUCGCGACACUUCCAAACACGCAGCUGCACAAUUCAGGCGCGCACCAAACUCUGGUUCCAGAGCGGACUCCAACUUCCCCGGAGUGCUUCCUCCGCGUUGUGCUUCGCAGACAUCCGAUCCUCCCCGUUUAAGGCUGCCGUGCGGUUGUACGGAGAACCUACGUCGACGUUACGCCAGCCUGCAGAACCACCCCCGCUCCACCCGUGACUCACGUUGUUUCACUGCUACGGCAUUUGGCGCACAGCGCGCUGACGGUGCGGGCGCCGGAGAGAAGAAGAGCGGUUCAGGUGUGCGUCUCCAGAUGGACUGCACAGAUCCUGCGGCGUUUUUAAAAGGGUAGAAAAUCCCUGGAAUUGGCCUUCAUUCCAGGGAAGCUGGCCGGCUGUGGCUAAGAAGUGAGGAUAAUGAGAGAGUGGGACGAACCGUGCUUCUGACUCUUUACUCCUCUUCAUCUCUCCACAUCCCCACGUCGAAGCUCUUCCCUCCGACCAUUCCGGAGCUUCGCCGUAGGUGUGUUUUGACCACAGUUUGAGGUAGCAGUGAGUGAUAGGUCUCAAACCCAGAAGGUUAGCAGGAGAAAGCCUUCAUCACGCUGCUGCGUCUGGAAUAUUUUUACUGCACUGCAACCUUCCAUUACCUCUGUCUCCCUCUCACACAGACCUGCUCUGACGCCUUUGUGUGUUCAUGUCGCAUUGUUUCUUUUCUUCUUCAGUUUUUUAAUGCUGAAAAAAAAAGAUUUGCUUCCCUUUCUUAAACUCCAGCUGAGGUUUAUGAUACAUUUUUAGUUUUUAGUAUUCAAAAAUAACAUUCAGACAUAAGAAAAGGAUGGAUUAGGGUGGAUUAGUGCUUAGUUGGUGUGAGACUUGAACACAUUUUGAAUUCUUCUCUCAAAAGAAAGAAAAUUUAAAUGUGAGGUGUUGCACUUGGACAUGUAUUGAAGGGAACAAAUCCCUAUUGCACUGAUUAAUGUGCUCUGCUGAGUGCUAAGUUAGAGGUUUAUAAGAUUAUACUGGUUCAAAUCUAAAUUGUUUGCAAUGAAUUUAAAUAAACACAUAUUAUCUUUCCAGCAAAGCAGAUGUUCGUGUGCUGUUACAGCCUUUUCAGGUGUUGGCGUCUGGAAAUACCUGACAGCGUGCGCCGGCCUGUCAGGUCGAACCUGGAGCAGAUGUUGGACUCAAGCUUCACGGUUCUGCUUGCAUUUCUUUGAGACAUGAAAACAGCAUAUGAUGAAUGUGUUCUUCUUCUUUCUUCAGCUUUAUUUACAUAAAUUAGUUCCAACAACAGUAACAAAUGGGCUCAGUCAUGAGCGGUUAGUUACAGCAACAAUGAAGAAAAUUAAACUGACUGAUCUGGUUUAUUCAUUCAACUUCAUGGUAAACAUUUAACAAAUGUCUGGUUUUCAUAUAGGAAAAGAAAGAAAUCCUUACUGCCUGUCAAAAAGGCAUUUUGGCAUAAAAAUGAAAUGUAGUUAUAAAAUAUUAAAUCAGCUUUAAAAGUGUAAAUUUUAAAACAUUGGAAAUCCCGAAACAGUGUCAAUUAUGAGGUUGAGCGAGUAUUAAAAAAUGA
RNAcentral lists this long non-coding RNA (2209 nucleotides) under Takifugu rubripes (torafugu). Its description in RNAcentral is "lncRNA (ENSTRUG00000033193.1)". Lineage: Eukaryota; Metazoa; Chordata; Actinopteri; Tetraodontiformes; Tetraodontidae. The record is from RNAcentral.